RNAcentral lists this ribosomal RNA (301 nucleotides) under uncultured bacterium. Its description in RNAcentral is "partial 16S ribosomal RNA". It matches the Rfam family "Bacterial small subunit ribosomal RNA", at positions 509 to 807 of the family's 1533-position model. The record is from RNAcentral.
CAGCCGCCGCGGUAAUACAGAGGGUGCGAGCGUUAAUCGGAUUUACUGGGCGUAAAGCGUGCGUAGGCGGCUUCUUAAGUCGGAUGUGAAAUCCCUGAGCUUAACUUAGGAAUUGCAUUCGAUACUGGGAAGCUAGAGUAUGGGAGAGGAUGGUAGAAUUCCAGGUGUAGCGGUGAAAUGCGUAGAGAUCUGGAGGAAUACCGAUGGCGAAGGCAGCCAUCUGGCCUAAUACUGACGCUCAUGCACGAAAGCGUGGGGAGCAAACAGGAUUAGAUACCCCCGUAGUCCCUGUCUCUUAUAC